This 235-nucleotide ribosomal RNA is filed under the name uncultured prokaryote. RNAcentral describes it as "partial 16S ribosomal RNA". It matches the Rfam family "Bacterial small subunit ribosomal RNA", at positions 524 to 758 of the family's 1533-position model. The record is from RNAcentral.
UACAGAGGGUGCAAGCGUUAAUCGGAUUUACUGGGCGUAAAGCGUGCGCAGGCGGUUUUGUAAGACAGAGGUGAAAUCCCCGAGCUUAACCUGGGAACUGCCUUUGUGACUGCAAGGCUUGAGUGCGGCAGAGGGGGAUGGAAUUCCGCGUGUAGCAGUGAAAUGCGUAGAUAUGUGGAGGAACACCGAUGGCGAAGGCAGCCCCCUGGGUCGACACUGACGCUCAGGCACGAAA